RNAcentral lists this long non-coding RNA (220 nucleotides) under Lathyrus oleraceus (garden pea). RNAcentral describes it as "Pisum sativum (pea) long non-coding RNA (PSAT_LNC015541)". Lineage: Eukaryota; Viridiplantae; Streptophyta; Magnoliopsida; Fabales; Fabaceae. The record is from RNAcentral.
AAGCACAUACUUGGAGAACAUGUAGAAUGUUGCAUGUCACUUAUUGUGCUAAAUUUUAUAUAGAAGAUAAAUUCAUAUGGAUGAGAUUAGAUUUAAUUGAAUUCAUUUGAUAACAUGUUCAUUUUUAUUCAUAUAGAGUUAAAGAUGGCUCCUUUACAAUUUUGGCAUUGCCCUCUUUAAACAUCGACCAUUUUCGAAAGCCUCGUAAUCAUAUUCUUAC